Molecule: ribosomal RNA, 253 nt
Filed under: uncultured bacterium
Lineage: Bacteria
Description: partial 16S ribosomal RNA
Rfam family: Bacterial small subunit ribosomal RNA
Source: RNAcentral
UACGUAGGGAGCAAGCGUUGUCCGGAAUCAUUGGGCGUAAAGAGCUCGUAGGUGGCUGAGUAAGUCGGAUGUUAAAUCCCCAGGCUCAACCUGGGACACCACCCGAUACUGCUCUGGCUAGAGUCCGGUAGGGGAGCGUGGAAUUCCUGGUGUAGCGGUGAAAUGCGCAGAUAUCAGGAGGAACACCAGCGGCGAAGGCGGCGCUCUGGGCCGGUACUGACACUGAGACGCGAAAGCGUGGGGAGCGAACAGG